Long non-coding RNA from Trematomus bernacchii (emerald rockcod), 996 nucleotides. RefSeq lists it as uncharacterized. The transcript is spliced from 4 exons. Lineage: Eukaryota; Metazoa; Chordata; Actinopteri; Perciformes; Nototheniidae. The record is from RefSeq and is a predicted model, not a curated record.
UUUGUCAGAGAUCAGCUGUUCUGCUCUGGCCUCAGCUCUGAAGUCCAACAUCCAUCUGAGAGAGCUGGACCUUGGUUACAACAAUCUGAAGGGUUCAGAUGUGAAGCUGCUGAGAGAACUUGUGGAGAGUCCAGACUGCAAACUGGAGCUACUCAGGAUCAGAGGAGAGACGAUCAGAGCCACAAUCCAGAAGACCUGUGACAGGAAGUGAAGACACACAGAAAGUUUAUUCAUCACGGGGCGAGUUUGAGACGUGAAGAGGAGCGUGGAGGCAUUUUGGAAAAUAAAGAAGAAGGCUGCAGCUGAUGAGAGACUUCCUGUUGGCUCUCCUCAAUAUGAAAUGAACAAAAACAAUCAAUUGUACUUAAAGCUUUUCUUAAGAAGAAAGAUGUGUUGCACAUACACCUGCUGCUACCUACCACCACCUCCCACCCAUCCCGGCACCAAAGAGGAGACUCCAUCGACCCCAGAUACCCCAACUCACUCUUCUUCAGGUUAGCUUGGAGCCCCGCCUUUACCUGCCCCAACACCUCACUUUGAACGAUGUAGUCAUCCGGAUAUCUGCAUACUGAGAGUGGGACGCAGGAGCCGGUCAAUGAGCUGCUGGAAGGGGGUCCACUGGACUGGAGGGGCGCUUGGAUCUGGAGUAUUUGAACCUAGCUGGAGGGCUAUUGGUGCCCCCUGUGGACCCAAAGAGACUCUUUUGGUUGGGGUAAUGAGGUGGAAGUUAUCUGCACCUAUUAGUAGGAGAGGCUGCACUUUGGGAAAAGAGGGAAGGGGAAGGCCUUGUAGGCGGAGAUAGUGUUUCUUGAGUUCAUCCACAGGAUCACUCUAGUCCACAAGUGAAAGUCUGUCGGAGGUGAAUGUGUCUUUGAUGAGGAAUGUUUUCUUGGGAUUGAAAGAGGGUUAUAUCUCAAAGGUCACUGAGGCUCCAUUUCAGAAUAAUAUAUAUGAUAUGUUUUAUAAUGAUUGAUCAUUAAAGUGUUCUCAAAGCUG